RNAcentral lists this microRNA precursor (137 nucleotides) under Oryza brachyantha (malo sina). RNAcentral's name for it is "pre miRNA MIR164". It matches the Rfam family "MIR164 microRNA precursor family". Lineage: Eukaryota; Viridiplantae; Streptophyta; Magnoliopsida; Poales; Poaceae. The record is from RNAcentral.
UUGUGCAGGGUGGAGAAGCAGGGCACGUGAAGGGCCAUCCAGCUGUGUAGCUUCGCCGGGUGCCCAAACUGUCGAUGGCGGCGAAUGUGCAUGCUGUGGAUGGCCGUUCAUGUGUUCGUCUUCUCCACCGAGCACGG